AUACGUAGGGGGCGAGCGUUGUCCGGAGUUACUGGGCGUAAAAGGUGCGUAGGCGGCCCGUUAAGUCAGGUGUGAAAAACCCUGGCUCAACCGGGGUAUUGCACUUGAAACUGGCGGGCUUGAGUGCAGGAGAGGGGAGUGGAAUUCCUGGUGUAGCGGUGAAAUGCGUAGAUAUCAGGAGGAACACCAGUGGCGAAGGCGGCUCUCUGGCCUGUAGCUGACGCUGAGGCACGAGAGCGUGGGGAGCAAACAGGAUUAGAUACCCUGGUAGUCCACGCUGUAAACGAUGGAUACUAGGUGUAGGGGGCGAUUAGCCUUCUGUGCCGAAGUUAACGCAAUAAGUAUCCCGCCUGGGGAGUACGGCCGCAAGGUUGAA
RNAcentral lists this ribosomal RNA (376 nucleotides) under uncultured bacterium. RNAcentral's name for it is "bacterial SSU rRNA". It matches the Rfam family "Bacterial small subunit ribosomal RNA", at positions 523 to 898 of the family's 1533-position model. The record is from RNAcentral.